GAGCCUACGGGGGGCAGCAGUGAGGAAUAUUGGUCAAUGGCCGGAAGGCUGAACCAGCCAAGCCGCGUGAAGGACGAAGGUGCCAAGCAUUGUAAACUUCUUUUGUCAAGGGACAAAAUCAGGCUCGAGAGCCUGACCGAGGGUACUUGAAGAAAAAGCAUCGGCUAACUGCGUGCCAGCAGCCGCGGUAAUACGUAGGGGGCAAGCGUUAUCCGGAUUUACUGGGUGUAAAGGGAGCGUAGACGGCAGCGCAAGUCUGAAGUGAAAUCCCAUGGCUUAACCAUGGAACUGCUUUGGAAACUGUG
RNAcentral lists this ribosomal RNA (305 nucleotides) under uncultured bacterium. RNAcentral describes it as "bacterial SSU rRNA". It matches the Rfam family "Bacterial small subunit ribosomal RNA", at positions 335 to 637 of the family's 1533-position model. The record is from RNAcentral.